AUGCCAAUCCUCCGUCAGAUUUUUCGUCUCCUCCGGCGACCUGGCGUCGCCAUCUCUCAUGACCCACUGCGCCGCCUCUCCUCUACCUCGCGACCUCUCCUCUCUUUCAUGGCCUCUGCCCCGCCUUACUGGUCGCCACCACCGCUUGCACGGCGAAGUUUCCCUCUCAUGAUGGUUCCAGAUCUACCUGUCCGUCGUGUUUCCCGAUUUCCACCUGGAUCUCGGAGCAUGACUAGUGGGACAACCUUGCAAGAUAUGAAUACUAUAGCCGGCAAACAUGAUGCAUCUUCGAAUAUUGUGGACAUCUCUGGUUGUGAUGAAAACGGGAGGAGUGCAACCAAUAGAAGGAGCGCAUUGGUAGCAAGCGAUGCCGAAGAAGAUGAUAUUCUUGACCUGGGAUUUCUUCCAAAAAGCACACACCGUGAUGGUUCUUUAUACAGGAACACUCAUUCGUGGAAAAGGAUGUAUAAUGUUGAUGACUGUAGUGAGACUCGGCUACCAGAUCCCACAGAUUGUGACAUCCGCAAUGGAGAAUGCAUUCGGCAUCAACCUAAUCGCGUGUUACAAAUUUUCUCAUUAAAGUUGGCUGAACUUACUCUGGAUCUUGGCCCAGUAGAGUUGUAUGGAUACAUAGCAGUGCGGGAUUAUCUGGAUACAUUGCGUAAUUAUGUUGUCAAUAUAAGCAGGGAUGAUCCCAUCAUUGUGAAGCAGGGUUCUCUCAUCGACAUGGCUGGCCCUAAGCGAGGGAUAGAUUUGAUUUCCAGUAUUCUAGUGGAAUAUGACAUGAGGAUCAAGGUAGGUGAGGAAGAAAGGGAUGAUUACCAGCUGAUUGAUGGUGUAACAGACAUAGACGACCUGGGCCCAUGGAAUCGUGCAUUGAAAAAUCGCAUCCAAGGCGACUGUGGUGCGGUUGACUUAACCAUAGCACGUGUUGAUGACGCAGUCAUGGCGAAUAUUGAAGUUGCCGUGUCAGAAGUGCAGAGCAGUUUUCAUCUGCGCUUGCGCUGUUUUAUCNNNNNNNNNNGUGGUUAUAACGAAGGAAUUCGGCUCUUCAAUGGUACAGUUGGCGAGUCACGUCAUUUAAAGAGGUCUGUGGUUGCUGUAGUGGAUGGUUCCACUCUGGUUUUGAAGUUCAAGGCGGCCUCGGGGCCAUCUGGUUCAGCGGAACGAUGUUGUUCCUUCCAGGCAGACACGCAUGGACUUGAUACUCGAGAGAUAAAGACUGAUUUUGGGUUGAUCUCAGUGAAGGUGACUUGGUCGACUCUGCGUACCAGGCUUAUUGUAGGGCUUGAAUAA
This 1296-nucleotide ribosomal RNA is filed under the name Triticum aestivum (bread wheat). Its description in RNAcentral is "partial small subunit ribosomal RNA". The record is from RNAcentral. Lineage: Eukaryota; Viridiplantae; Streptophyta; Magnoliopsida; Poales; Poaceae.